Molecule: small RNA, 52 nt
Filed under: Arabidopsis thaliana (thale cress)
Lineage: Eukaryota; Viridiplantae; Streptophyta; Magnoliopsida; Brassicales; Brassicaceae
Description: ATSL143140
Source: RNAcentral
AGUCGAAGAAGCCAUGGCUGAUCUCUGAUGAUGAGGAAGAGAAGAGAAAGAG